RNAcentral lists this unclassified non-coding RNA (209 nucleotides) under soil metagenome. RNAcentral's name for it is "partial contains 5.8S ribosomal RNA, internal transcribed spacer 2, and large subunit ribosomal RNA". The record is from RNAcentral.
AACCUAGCACACCUGCGGUGUGUACCUGCGGAAGGAUCAUUACCGAGUUUACAACUCCCAAACCCCUGUGAACAUACCUAUAUGUUGCCUCGGCGGAUCAGCCCGCGCCCCGUAAAACGGGACGGCCCGCCGCAGGAUCCACAAACUCUGCUUUUAUUGUAACUUCUGAGUAACAAAACAAAUAAAUCAAAACUUUUAACAACGGAUCU